RNAcentral lists this ribosomal RNA (253 nucleotides) under uncultured bacterium. RNAcentral describes it as "partial 16S ribosomal RNA". It matches the Rfam family "Bacterial small subunit ribosomal RNA", at positions 524 to 776 of the family's 1533-position model. The record is from RNAcentral.
GACGAACCGUGCAAACGUUAUUCGGAAUCACUGGGCUUAAAGGGCGCGUAGGCGGGCCGCCAGGUCCGGGGUGAAAGCCUCCAGCUCAACUGGAGAAGUGCCUUGGAUACCGGCGGCCUCGAGGGAGGCAGGGGCGUGCGGAACUUCGGGUGGAGCGGUGAAAUGCGUAGAUAUCCGAAGGAACACCGGUGGCGAAAGCGGCGCGCUGGACCUCUUCUGACGCUGAGGCGCGAAAGCCAGGGGAGCAAACGGG